AAUGCACUGACAAAGUGAGGAGCCAAUGAUGUCUGGGCAUCAAGUUCUGCAGAGUCUGAGAGAAGAUUUAGCUGGAGCAAGUCAUGGUGGUGUAUACCUGGUGACGGGGGCGACCGACGAUUGAGGGGAACACAGCACGAGGGGCAUCAUCCCCAGCGAACCCAGCCUUCACCAGCCCUGAGCCGUUGUCGCACACCAGGGCGGUAGUCUCCUCAUCGUCACACAUGUUGGCAGUCGCCCUCACAUGUCAAAGAACAGCUGUGUUACAAGCUUGCCCCGUGUCCAGCUCCCCUCCACGCUCACACAAGUGCAAACUGAGUUUCGGGUUCCUAUAACCUGACUCUGCAAACUUCUCGAGGAGAAAACAGGACAAAGCAAAUGGGAUUCUCUACUCACUUGGAACACUUGGAAGCACUGGGACAGUUUACAAAGACUUCAAUGCAUUUCCGAGCAGAAUCUGCAGAAACAUUAAAUCGGUUCAAUAUUUCUGCAGACACCGGAAAUUCCUUCUUGUGCACAGUGCUUCAGAAUCCUAUUGAAAUCAAUGAGAAGCCCACCGUGUGAACAUGGCCUUAAAGAAGAUCUGCAGCCCUAAACACUUAUCCCCUAUAUGCUCCCAUGCAGGAGACAUGUUGGCCACAGCAUGACACCACAGCCGACACUCCCUCUCCAUGUAUCUCUAUGGGAGAGGUGGAGAUGCAUUAUUCGUGCAUCCCUGCCUCUCCCAUAGAAUUGCAUGGAGGGGACGUUUUGUCGACCUCAAUGAGGUCGAUGACACGCGCAUUAGCCGUGCAGAGCCGCGGCAAUGCCGGUUUCCUGUAUGGGAUAAUCACAGGGGUCCCAGCAGUUGGACCCUCCGCGAUCAGACACUUAUCCCCUAUCCUGUAGGGGAUUAGUGUCUAAGACUGCAGUACUCCUUUAAGCUUCACUAUUUUCACAGAAUUGGCAUACUGCAAAUGUAUAUGCCAAAAAUUUCUGCAACAUGAAUGAAAUUUGUAAAACUGUAGUGUGCCACUAUGGAUUUUACCUACAGACAUCCACAGAUAAAAUCUGCAGCAUUGCCAGAAGUUUAAAAAUGUCAGUCACCACAGUAACCCCUCCAUCUGAGAGAUCUAAGACCUAAGAUGUGUACUUACAAUACAAAAAGAUAAAUACAUUUAAAAAAUAUAUUAAAAGCUUUA
Molecule: long non-coding RNA, 1181 nt
Organism: Hyla sarda
Lineage: Eukaryota; Metazoa; Chordata; Amphibia; Anura; Hylidae
Exons: 4
Source: RefSeq, a predicted model, not a curated record